RNAcentral lists this ribosomal RNA (490 nucleotides) under uncultured bacterium. RNAcentral's name for it is "partial 16S ribosomal RNA". It matches the Rfam family "Bacterial small subunit ribosomal RNA", at positions 28 to 507 of the family's 1533-position model. The record is from RNAcentral.
GAUGAACGCUAGCUACAGGCUUAACACGUGCAAGUCGCGGGGCAGCAUGGGGGUUGCUUGCAAUCCCCGAUGGCGACCGGCGCACGGGUGAGUAACGCGUAUCCAACCUGCCCUUCACCACGGGAUAACCCGGCGAAAGUCGGACUAAUACCGUAUGUUGUCCAUUGACGGCAUCCGAUUUGGACGAAAGGCUUGGCGGUGAGGGAUGGGGAUGCGUCCGAUUAGCCAGACGGCGGGGUAACGGCCCACCGUGGCUACGAUCGGUAGGGGUUCUGAGAGGAAGGUCCCCCACACUGGAACUGAGACACGGUCCAGACUCCUACGGGAGGCAGCAGUGAGGAAUAUUGGUCAAUGGGCGUAAGCCUGAACCAGCCAAGUAGCGUGCAGGAUGACGGCCCUAUGGGUUGUAAACUGCUUUUAUGCGGGGAUAAAGUGGCCCACGUGUGGGCUUUUGCAGGUACCGCAUGAAUAAGGACCGGCUAAUUCCGUG